Molecule: small nucleolar RNA, 83 nt
Organism: Tripterygium wilfordii
Lineage: Eukaryota; Viridiplantae; Streptophyta; Magnoliopsida; Celastrales; Celastraceae
Product: small nucleolar RNA SNORD34
Exons: 1
Source: RefSeq, a predicted model, not a curated record
GAAGGCCUAUGAUGAUUUAAAUAUUGCCUACAUUGUCUGAUUUCCUUGUAUGACUGGAGGAUUAGAGAAUUUCUGAGGCCAGU